Pelobates cultripes (western spadefoot toad) is the source of this 219-nucleotide non-coding RNA. Lineage: Eukaryota; Metazoa; Chordata; Amphibia; Anura; Pelobatidae. The record is from the annotation of a GenBank genome assembly.
UAUAAAUAUGCAUAUAUAUUUAAAUUCUACGUGCGUAUUUAUGUAAUAUUUUUACAUAAUUCAGUAAUUUUAUUGAUUGCAAUUUGAGGGACCUGCCUGCCAACACAGGCCGAAAUUCCAGAGAAUUUAAUUUGCUAGCACUGUAUUUUACCCUGUAACGUUCUACGACACCCUAAAACCUGUACAUGGGGGGUACUGUUUUACUCGGGAGACUUCGCU